Molecule: ribosomal RNA, 1288 nt
Filed under: unidentified marine bacterioplankton
Lineage: Bacteria
Description: bacterial SSU rRNA
Rfam family: Bacterial small subunit ribosomal RNA
Source: RNAcentral
GAACGCUGGCGGUAUGCUUAACACAUGCAAGUCGAACGAAAGUUUUUAACUUUAGUGGCGAACGGGUGCGUAAUACGUGAGAAUCUGCCCUUAGGAGAAGAAUAACUGCUGGAAACGGCUGCUAAAUCUUCAUAUGCCGAGAGGUGAAAUAGUUUAGGCUGCCUAAGGAUGAGCUCGCGCCUGAUUAGCUAGUUGGUAAGGUAAUGGCUUACCAAGGCCACGAUCAGUAGCUGGUUUGAGAGAACGAUCAGCCACACUGGGACUGAGACACGGCCCAGACUCCUCCGGGAGGCAGCAGUGAGGAAUUUUCCGCAAUGGGCGAAAGCCUGACGGAGCAAUACCGCGUGAGGGAUGAAGGAUUUUGGUCUGUAAACCUCUUUUCUCAAGAAAGAAGUUCUGACGGUACUCGAGGAAUAAGCAUCGGCUAACUCCGUGCCAGCAGCCGCGGUAAUACGGGGGAUGCAAGCGUUAUCCGGAAUCAUUGGGCGUAAAGCGCCUGUAGGUUGUUUACUAAGUCUGUUGUUAAAGACUAGGGCUUAACCCUAGAAAAGCAAUGGAAACUUGUAGACUAGAGUAUGGCAGGGGUAGAGGGAAUUUCUAGUGUAGCGGUGAAAUGCGUAGAUAUUAGAAAGAACACCAGUGGCGAAAGCGCUCUACUGGACCAUUACUGACACUCAGAGGCGAAAGCUAGGGUAGCAAAAGGGAUUAGAUACCCCUGUAGUCCUAGCCGUAAACGAUGGAUACUAGAUGUUGUGCUUAGUACAGUAUCGUAGCUAACGCGUUAAGUAUCCCGCCUGGGGAGUACGCUCGCAAGGGUGAAACUCAAAGGAAUUGACGGGGGCCCGCACAAGCGGUGGAGCAUGUGGUUUAAUUCGAUGCAACGCGAAGAACCUUACCAGGGCUUGACAUACUACAAAUUCUUUUGAGAAAGAGAAGUGCCUUCGGGAAUGUAGAUACAGGUGGUGCAUGGCUGUCGUCAGCUCGUGUCGUGAGAUGUUGGGUUAAGUCCCGCAACGAGCGCAACCCUUAUUUUUAGUUACCAAUUCGUUGGGUUUUUAGAAAGACUGCCGGUGACAAACCGGAGGAAGGUGAGGAUGACGUCAAGUCAGCAUGCCCCUUAUGUCCUGGGCUACACACGUGCUACAAUGGUUAAGACAAAGAGUCGCAAGCUCGCGAGAGUUAGCUAAUCUAUUAAACUUAGCCUAAGUUCAGAUUGUAGGCUGCAACUCGCCUACAUGAAGUUGGAAUCGCUAGUAAUCGCUGGUCAGCCAUACAGCGGUGAAUCCGU